Molecule: ribosomal RNA, 253 nt
Filed under: uncultured bacterium
Lineage: Bacteria
Description: partial 16S ribosomal RNA
Rfam family: Bacterial small subunit ribosomal RNA
Source: RNAcentral
UACGUAGGGGGCAAGCGUUAUCCGGAUUUACUGGGUGUAAAGGGAGCGUAGACGGCGAUGCAAGUCUGAAGUGAAAGGCGGAGGCCCAACCCCCGGACUGCUUUGGAAACUGUAUGGCUGGAGUGCAGGAGAGGUAAGUGGAAUUCCUAGUGUAGCGGUGAAAUGCGUAGAUAUUAGGAGGAACACCAGUGGCGAAGGCGGCUUACUGGACUGUAACUGACGUUGAGGCUCGAAAGCGUGGGGAGCAAACAGG